Non-coding RNA from Pocillopora verrucosa, 73 nucleotides. The record is from the annotation of a RefSeq genome assembly. Lineage: Eukaryota; Metazoa; Cnidaria; Anthozoa; Scleractinia; Pocilloporidae.
GUCUCAGUGGCUCAGUGGUAGAGCAUUAGAAUGCGGAAUCUGAAGGUCUAAGGUUCAAUUCCUGAUUGGGACU